This 1837-nucleotide long non-coding RNA is filed under the name Sorghum bicolor (sorghum). RNAcentral's name for it is "long non-coding RNA (SBIC_LNC015478)". Lineage: Eukaryota; Viridiplantae; Streptophyta; Magnoliopsida; Poales; Poaceae. The record is from RNAcentral.
CCCCAGAAAAAAAAUACCACGCUUAUGGUGAUUUUACCAAGUUAGAGUACUAAAUUGUUGGAGAGAGAUUUUUUUUUACUUGCUAAAUAAAAUAGCGACUUGCUAAAACUAAAGAUUGUCAAAUAAAUCUUUAUAUCAUAGCAGUAAAGGGGGUGGCUGCUGCUUUUUUUACCAUGAUGGCAACUUGAGAAGAUUUCUGUUUUUUUUUCAUGCUACAUUUGAUUGUUUCAUCUAUUUUAUCUUUCAUAGUUUCUGCUUCAGAUUAGUAAAGAAGUAAUAUCCCGUCAAUAGCUUUAGUAUUUGCAUGAGUUUGUUCAUGUAGAUGUUAUUUCACUUGAAUAACAGAACCAGCUUGAUGAGAGAGUAGAUGAGGCUCAUUAGCUUUUUUCAGUCUAAUUCACCACAUUGUCACAUCAAUUUAUCAAGACUUGGAAUGGUCUCAGUUUGAGUAUUUGUGCAAUACAAUUAUACAAAUUGCUUAUAGUAAAAUAUUCUAUCUAGUGAUUGCUAAGUUUUGCCAUGAUAAAUAUGUUCCUGAAUUACAAAAGUUGGUGCUAAUUUAGUCUUCAAUAUUUAGGUCUUAAUUUGUGGUUUUGCUCCUGGUUCAGUAUUCAAGACUUAAAAUUUCUUGGAACUUUGAUGAUCUUGGCAGAUAGUCCUACCAACGUGAGCACCAGCCAAAAAUGAAGAGAAUAUAAUGUUACAUACUAGAAUACCAACUUUAUAUGCACCCUUAAUUCAUGAUGAGAGAAUAAAUAAAUUCUAUCUGGAGUAGUUUUGUACAAUGAUCUAGACCAUCUGAAACUUCUGAACAGGAGUAUUUUAAUUUCCAUUUAGCCUUGUGUAUAAUUUAGUGUUUGCUUGUCUUCUUGGCAUUGCGUGAUAGACUGAAAAUAGGUGCCUGAUUUUGUUUGGCAUUUUUUGUUUUAUUAUUCCUUUAAUCAAUCUCUACAAUUUUGUUUUUCUUGCUUGUUUGUCCAGUAAGGCAAGUAUACGCCUACACUAACUACAAUCAAGUAUCUCAUUUUUUAUGGACUUGUUACCAAGGUUACAAGACAAAUAAUGGACAUUUGUAGAUCAAUUGUGUUUCUCAACUUUUCUACGUAGCAUUUGUUAAAACCAAAUAUAUGUUCCCAAAUGAAGUACCGUAAUUUUUAUAUAGACUUUCGUUCGCAAAAAAAAAUUAUAUAGACUUUUUUUGUUAGUGGUGUAGGUUUGUUUUUUAGUUUUAUGAUUUAUUUUAGUUUUGUAAUUUUUUUCUAAACGUCACUGUAGCGUUAGCACAGGCAAUAUACUAGUGAAGUCUAAUAAGCCAGAUAGAGAAGAUAGCAUAACAAACGUGAAGCACCUAUAUGUUAUCUAUUGUAAUGCCUCUAAUUGUUAUUUUCUACUUAGAGCAUGUUCAAGAGUUUUCAAAACCCAUUCCCAUUCUUGAUUUUAUGGCAAGAUUGAAAGAAAACGCUCUCUAACAACUCCUUAUCUCAACUAUUAGUCCUUCCGUACUUAAGAAAACCAAUCCAAUCACACAGAAGUAUACGUGCACAUAUUGAUCGGUCAAUCCGCAGGUAGAAGCAUAUGGAGAAAGAAUAUAUAGCAAGGGCAGGGUUCCCAAUACAAAGUUUACAAGAUGUAAAGAAAAUGUAAAAAUAGUCGAGGUGGUUUUAAAAAAUAGUCUGCAAUUAUUGAAAAGAGUUGAAGGAAACUAAUAAAAAUGCUCUUAAUUCUUUUAGUCACUUAAAAAAUAAUCGAUCUACCAAUUGUUUUUAAAAAUCUUAAAGAUUCUCUUGGAUGACUCGGUUUGCGUCAUUGUUGUUUAUACUCAAACUAAGGGUCACUU